GACGAACGCUGGCGGCGUGCUUAACACAUGCAAGUCGAACGAAGUGGCGAACGGGUGAGUAAAGCGUAAUCAACCUGCCCUUCAGAGGGGGACAACAGUUGGAAACGACUGCUAAUACCGCAUACUGAAGGAGGGGAUUGCGUCUGAUUAGCUAGGUGGAGGGGUAACGGACCACCAAGGCGAUGAUCAGUAGCCGGUCUGAGAGAAUGAACGGCCACAGUGGGACUGAGACACGGCCCAGACACCAACGGGAGGCAGCAGUGGGGAAUCUUCCGCAAUGGACGAAAGUCUGACGGGACAACGCCGCGUGAGUGAUGACGGCCUUCGGGUUGUAAAGAUCUGUUAAUCGGGACGCGGUACCGGAAUAGAAAGCCACGGCUAACUACGUGCCAGCAGCCGCGGUAAUUC
RNAcentral lists this ribosomal RNA (408 nucleotides) under uncultured bacterium. Its description in RNAcentral is "partial 16S ribosomal RNA". It matches the Rfam family "Bacterial small subunit ribosomal RNA", at positions 28 to 526 of the family's 1533-position model. The record is from RNAcentral.